UUUUGGUUCUCUUUCAAGGAACCCUUUUACGAAAAAAAAAAGAUGCAUGACCAUCCAAAUUUUUUUUUGGAGGUGGGUUUUUUUGUUUUCCAGCCCCUAUGGGGGGCUUUUGUGUGCAAAAAUGCCCAUUUGAUGCCAUGCAAAUUGGGCAUUUUGUGUUAGAGAGAGAGGUGAAAGAGAGAACCAUGGUUAGGCCAAAGGUUUUGUUUCUUCAGAGAUUGCAUGCAGCUGAAUACAUAUUUGAAACUGAAGGAGAAUGAUUUGAGAGAUUCAUUGACUCUAGCGAUGUGGAAUUGGUGGAGCAUGCAGAGCCAUAUUG
This 319-nucleotide long non-coding RNA is filed under the name Citrus maxima (pomelo). RNAcentral describes it as "long non-coding RNA (CMAX_LNC001908)". The record is from RNAcentral. Lineage: Eukaryota; Viridiplantae; Streptophyta; Magnoliopsida; Sapindales; Rutaceae.